This is a long non-coding RNA of Oreochromis niloticus (Nile tilapia), 734 nucleotides long. RefSeq lists it as uncharacterized. NCBI's taxonomy places the organism in Eukaryota, Metazoa, Chordata, Actinopteri, Cichliformes, Cichlidae. The transcript is spliced from 2 exons. The record is from RefSeq and is a predicted model, not a curated record.
UGGCCACACCUAAGGACCUCACACACCUGCAGCUGAUCAGGAUCGUCGGGGGAGCUACAUAGGAGUGUAGCUGAGAGCUCCUCGACACUGGAUCAUUGAGUUACACUCCAAGUUAGUGUGUGUCAAAGUGUAGUGUCGUGCUGGUCGUGUAUGCCCGCGGGAGUUAGUGUAUGAUGGCUGCCUCUGUUGUUUUCCUGCAGGAGGAGCAUGGAGCAGAAAAGGGCAGCAUGCACGGGGAGUGCGGAGACAUGGGAGCCGAGAGCACAAGCACACAGAUGCCUUGAACAGAGGGCUGGGGGGCAUUUUGUCCCAGCAGGUAAGGGGGUCCACCACCCGAUCCUCUACAUCAGCUAACAGACCGAGAAGGAAAAUACAGCAUGAUCGAAAAGGAAUGCCUGGCUAUCCAGUGGGCAGUCAGCUCCCUUCUGUAUUACCUCCUGGGACACUCAUUCACCCUCUGCUCAGACCAUGCGCCGGUGCAUGAAGGGUACCAACGCCCUUUAACUUCAAGGUGGUUCAUAGGCCGGGGGCGCUACUCUCAAAAACUGUGGAUGCAACACAAAGACAGACUAAUCAACAUAUUUGUUCUAGUUCUGCCUUGAGGCAGCUGUUGUUGUAAUUUGGUGUAAUAUAAAUAAAACUGAACUGAAAUGAAUUCUGGGAUGUCGGUAUCACACCACGAGCCAUAGUGUUAGUAAGAUGUUCCAUGAAAAAUGCUCUAGAAUGCUCCAGCA